Molecule: transfer RNA, 71 nt
Filed under: Marmota monax (woodchuck)
Lineage: Eukaryota; Metazoa; Chordata; Mammalia; Rodentia; Sciuridae
Description: tRNA.Undet
Source: RNAcentral
GAGGUUGUGGCUCAGUGGUAGAGCACUUGCUGAGCAAGUGCAGGGCCCUGGGUUUAACCCUCAGCACCACA